This 27-nucleotide non-coding RNA is filed under the name Rattus norvegicus (Norway rat). Lineage: Eukaryota; Metazoa; Chordata; Mammalia; Rodentia; Muridae. The record is from RNAcentral.
UGAGAAGGAUGAUUUUGACAAAGACCC